RNAcentral lists this ribosomal RNA (301 nucleotides) under uncultured bacterium. RNAcentral describes it as "partial 16S ribosomal RNA". It matches the Rfam family "Bacterial small subunit ribosomal RNA", at positions 509 to 807 of the family's 1533-position model. The record is from RNAcentral.
CAGUAGCCGCGGGAAUACGUAGGGUGCAAGCGUUAAUCGGAAUUACUGGGCGUAAAGCGCACGCAGGCGGUCUGACAAGUCAGAUGUGAAAUCCCCGGGCUUAACCUGGGAACUGCAUUUGAAACUGUCAGGCUGGAGUCUUGUAGAGGGGGGUAGAAUUCCAGGUGUAGCGGUGAAAUGCGUAGAGAUCUGGAGGAAUACCGGUGGCGAAGGCGGCCCCCUGGACAAAGACUGACGCUCAGGUGCGAAAGCGUGGGGAGCAAACAGGAUUAGAUACCCGAGUAGUCCCUGUCUCUUAUAC